Olea europaea var. sylvestris is the source of this 793-nucleotide long non-coding RNA. RefSeq lists it as uncharacterized. Lineage: Eukaryota; Viridiplantae; Streptophyta; Magnoliopsida; Lamiales; Oleaceae. The record is from RefSeq and is a predicted model, not a curated record. The transcript has 2 exons.
UAAAUCUUGGGCAAUGAGAUUAAACAGUUUUCGGAUUAUAUUUCAUAGCCUUCGGUCGUUGAGUGAAAUAUCUAUCAACACACUCAAUUAAUUGGCCUAACCCGAAAAACAACUUGAGGGUCAUUGAAAGCAACUUAAUUUAAUUAAUGUUGCUCACUACCCAUUUACUUCUUGGAUGUCUAUCUUUUGUGUUUUGGUCCUUUACCAUGUGUUGGUCCCCGAGCCCACUAUAUUAGCCUAUUACUAUUACACCCCAAAAAUAUAUUGGCCUCACUGCUUGAAGAAGCCGUGUGUGCGCACAAUUGUGAGAAAAGGCCGCCAACUUUUAUUGUGUUCUCUCUCUUGUAGUUGAAACUUGUCUUCCUCUCUUCUUUUGUGAAUACAUUGAGUUGAGCAACCGAAGUAAAAAUAGUUGUGGAUUGGAGCCAUUACUUGGGUGUGUUUGAUAAGGUUGGGAUUGGUAUAAUGAGCUCGAAUUCCAGGAAUUGAAGAUCUGUUCCACUACACUUGACAUCUUUGUUUUCCAUCAUCAUCCAGUAGUUUACAACUCCUCUACAGAUGCAGAUUGCGGGUAAUAUCUUUAUGCAUCAGUCUGAAGGUGGCUACAUGGCAUCAACACUGGAUUAGGUUUGAACCAACACAUCUUCUGUGCUUUAGAGGAUAAAUAAACAAAUUUACACUAUGUAUUCGAUCAUGAGGUUUGAAUCAACACAAAUUUGAAUCAACUCCAAUGCUAGUUGGUUGUGGAUAUUUAAUAUUUUGUUUGUUAUAUUGGAUUUUUUAUUUUUCUCAA